Molecule: long non-coding RNA, 412 nt
Organism: Mugil cephalus (flathead mullet)
Lineage: Eukaryota; Metazoa; Chordata; Actinopteri; Mugiliformes; Mugilidae
Exons: 3
Source: RefSeq, a predicted model, not a curated record
CUACACCACCAACAACAACAGCUCCAACAACAACCACAACAACAACACCACCAACAACCACAACACCAACAACAACUACACCACCAACAACCACAACACCAACAACAACAACAACCACAACUACACCAUCAAACAUGACUGGACCAAUGUCAAACGUGACUGGACCAAUUUCAAACACGACUGCACCAACAACAACCACGACUCCGACAACAACAAGCACGACUGUAGCACCAGUCUUCAACUCACUAGUACAUCUCCAGGCGAAGGUAACUUCAACGACACAGCUCACCAAUUCAAACGUCAUUCUGUUUAUUAAUCAGCUGUUGAACGUGUACUUUCCCAGUGGAGCACCAUUUGUAUACACUGUGAGAGGAAUUCAACAAAUCAGUCCAAACCCAUAGAAGCAAAUGUA